GACGAACGCUGGCGGCGUGCUUAACACAUGCAAGUCGAACGGAAAGGCCCUGCUUUUGUGGGGUGCUCGAGUGGCGAACGGGUGAGUAACACGUGAGUAACCUGCCCUUGACUUUGGGAUAACUUCAGGAAACUGGGGCUAAUACCGGAUAGGAGCUCCUGCUGCAUGGUGGGGGUUGGAAAGUUUCGGCGGUUGGGGAUGGACUCGCGGCUUAUCAGCUUGUUGGUGGGGUAGUGGCUUACCAAGGCUUUGACGGGUAGCCGGCCUGAGAGGGUGACCGGCCACAUUGGGACUGAGAUACGGCCCAGACUCCUACGGGAGGCAGCAGUGGGGAAUAUUGCACAAUGGGCGGAAGCCUGAUGCAGCAACGCCGCGUGCGGGAUGACGGCCUUCGGGUUGUAAACCGCUUUCGCCUGUGACGAAGCGUGAGUGACGGUAAUGGGUAAAGAAGCACCGGCUAACUACGUGCCAGCAGCCGCGGUGAUACGUAGGGUGCGAGCGUUGUCCGGAUUUAUUGGGCGUAAAGGGCUCGUAGGUGGUUGAUCGCGUCGGAAGUGUAAUCUUGGGGCUUAACCCUGAGCGUGCUUUCGAUACGGGUUGACUUGAGGAAGGUAGGGGAGAAUGAAAUUCCUGGUGGAGCGGUGGAAUGCGCAGAUAUCAGGAGGAACACCAGUGGCGAAGGCGGUUCUCUGGGCCUUUCCUGACGCUGAGGAGCGAAAGCGUGGGGAGCGAACAGGCUUAGAUACCCUGGUAGUCCACGCUGUAAACGGUGGGUACUAGGUGUGGGGUCCAUUCCACGGGUUCCGUGCCGUAGCUAACGCUUUAAGUACCCCGCCUGGGGAGUACGGCCGCAAGGCUAAAACUCAAAGGAAUUGACGGGGCCCGCACAAGCGGCGGAGCAUGCGGAUUAAUUCGAUGCAACGCGUAGAACCUUACCUGGGUUUGACAUGGAUCGGGAGUGCUCAGAGAUGGGUGUGCCUCUUUUGGGGUCGGUUCACAGGUGGUGCAUGGCUGUCGUCAGCUCGUGUCGUGAGAUGUUGGGUUAAGUCCCGCAACGAGCGCAACCCUUGUUCACUGUUGCCAGCACGUUAUGGUGGGGACUCAGUGGAGACCGCCGGGGUCAACUCGGAGGAAGGUGGGGAUGACGUCAAGUCAUCAUGCCCCUUAUGUCCAGGGCUUCACGCAUGCUACAAUGGCUGGUACAGAGAGUGGCGAGCCUGUGAGGGUGAGCGAAUCUCGGAAAGCCGGUCUCAGUUCGGAUUGGGGUCUGCAACUCGACCUCAUGAAGUCGGAGUCGCUAGUAAUCGCAGAUCAGCAACGCUGCGGUGAAUACGUUCCCGGGGCU
RNAcentral lists this ribosomal RNA (1345 nucleotides) under uncultured bacterium. RNAcentral describes it as "partial 16S ribosomal RNA". It matches the Rfam family "Bacterial small subunit ribosomal RNA", at positions 28 to 1381 of the family's 1533-position model. The record is from RNAcentral.